GCCGGAGUGGUGGAAUUGGCAGACACGCAGCACUUAGGAUGCUGUGCCUCAGGCGUGCGGGUUCAAGUCCCGCCUCCGGCA
This 81-nucleotide transfer RNA is filed under the name Microlunatus sp. Gsoil 973. It matches the Rfam family "tRNA". From Rfam's summary of the family: Transfer RNA (tRNA) molecules are approximately 80 nucleotides in length. Their secondary structure includes four short double-helical elements and three loops (D, anti-codon, and T loops). Further hydrogen bonds mediate the characteristic L-shaped molecular structure. tRNAs have two regions of fundamental functional importance: the anti-codon, which is responsible for specific mRNA codon recognition, and the 3' end, to which the tRNAs corresponding amino acid is attached (by aminoacyl-tRNA synthetases). tRNAs cope with the degeneracy of the genetic code in two manners: having more than one tRNA (with a specific anti-codon) for a particular amino acid; and 'wobble' base-pairing, i.e. permitting non-standard base-pairing at the 3rd anti-codon position. The record is from Rfam by way of RNAcentral. Lineage: Bacteria; Bacillati; Actinomycetota; Actinomycetes; Propionibacteriales; Propionibacteriaceae.